GAUGAACGCUGGCGGCGUGCCUAAUACAUGCAAGUCGAGCGAACAGACGAGGAGCUUGCUCCUCUGACGUUAGCGGCGGACGGGUGAGUAACACGUGGAUAACCUACCUAUAAGACUGGGAUAACUUCGGGAAACCGGAGCUAAUACCGGAUAAUAUAUUGAACCGCAUGGUUCAAUAGUGAAAGACGGUUUUGCUGUCACUUAUAGAUGGAUCCGCGCCGCAUUAGCUAGUUGGUAAGGUACCGGCUUACCAAGGCAACGAUGCGUAGCCGACCUGAGAGGGUGAUCGGCCGCGCUGGAACUGAGACACGGUCCAGACUCCUACGGGAGGCAGCAGUAGGGAAUCUUCCGCAAUGGGCGAAAGCCUGACGGAGCAACGCCGCGUGAGUGAUGGAGGUCUUCGGAUCGUAAAACUCUGUUAUUAGGGAAGAACAAAUGUGUAAGUAGCUAUGCACGGCUUGACGGUACCGAAUCAGAAAGCCACGGCUAACUACGUG
Molecule: ribosomal RNA, 497 nt
Filed under: uncultured bacterium
Lineage: Bacteria
Description: partial 16S ribosomal RNA
Rfam family: Bacterial small subunit ribosomal RNA
Source: RNAcentral